RNAcentral lists this ribosomal RNA (922 nucleotides) under uncultured archaeon. RNAcentral's name for it is "bacterial SSU rRNA". It matches the Rfam family "Archaeal small subunit ribosomal RNA", at positions 1 to 924 of the family's 1478-position model. The record is from RNAcentral.
UUCCGGUUGAUCCUGCCGGAGGCCAUUGCUAUCGGAGUCCGAUUUAGCCAUGCUAGUCGUGCGAGUUCAGACUCGCGGCACCGAGCUCAGUAACACGUGGCCAAACUACCCUACAGAGACGGAUACCCUCGGGAAACUGAGGUUAUCCCGUCAUACCGAUCUCAGGCUUGAAUCGCAGAGAUCACAAAAUGCCCCGGCGCUGUAGGAUGUGGCUGCGGUUGAUUAGGUAGACGGUGGGGUAACGGCCCACCGUGCCCAUAAUCAGUACAGGUUGUGAGAGCAAGAACCUGGAGACGGAAUCUGAGACAAGAUUCCGGGCCCUACGGGGCGCAGCAGGCGCGAAACCUUUACACUGCACGCACGUGCGAUAAGGGGACUCCGAGUGCGAGGGCAUAUCGUCCUCGCUUUCGUGUACCGUAGGGUGGUACACCAACAAGGGCUGGGCAAGACCGGUGCCAGCCGCCGCGGUAAUACCGGCAGCCCGAGUGAUGGCCGAUCUUAUUGGGCCUAAAGCGUCCGUAGCUGGCUGCGCAAGUCCGUCGGGAAAUCCACUCGCUCAACGAGUGGGCGUCCGACGGAAACUGCACAGCUUGGGACCGGAAGGCUCGAAGGGUACGUUCGGGGUAGGAGUGAAAUCCUAUAAUCCCGCACGGACCACCGAUGGCGAAGGCACUUCGAGAAAACGGAUCCGACAGUGAGGGACGAAAGCCAGGGUCUCCAACCGGAUUAGAUACCCGGGUAGUCCUGGCCGUAAACAAUGUUCGCUAGGUAUGACACAGACUACGUGUCUCUGUUGUGCCGUAGGGAAGCCGAGAAGCGAACCGCCUGGGAAGUACGUCUGCAAGGAUGAAACUUAAAGGAAUUGGCGGGGGAGCACUACAACCGGAGGAGCCUGCGGUUUAAUUGGAUUCAACGCCGGAAA